AGUGAACGCUGGCGGUAGGCCUAACACAUGCAAGUCGAACGGCAGCACAGUAAGAGCUUGCUCUUACGGGUGGCGAGUGGCGGACGGGUGAGGAAUACAUCGGAAUCUACUUUUUCGUGGGGGAUAACGUAGGGAAACUUACGCUAAUACCGCAUACGACCUACGGGUGAAGGCAGGGGAUCUUCGGACCUUGCGCGAUUGAAUGAGCCGAUGUCGGAUUAGCUAGUUGGCGGGGUAAAGGCCCACCAAGGCGACGAUCCGUAGCUGGUCUGAGAGGAUGAUCAGCCACACUGGAACUGAGACACGGUCCAGACUCCUACGGGAGGCAGCAGUGGGGAAUAUUGGACAAUGGGCGCAAGCCUGAUCCAGCCAUACCGCGUGGGUGAAGAAGGCCUUCGGGUUGUAAAGCCCUUUUGUUGGGAAAGAAAAGCAGCAGGUUAAUACCCCGCUGUUCUGACGGUACCCAAAGAAUAAGCACCGGCUAACCUCGUG
This 492-nucleotide ribosomal RNA is filed under the name uncultured bacterium. RNAcentral's name for it is "partial 16S ribosomal RNA". It matches the Rfam family "Bacterial small subunit ribosomal RNA", at positions 29 to 507 of the family's 1533-position model. The record is from RNAcentral.